RNAcentral lists this small RNA (28 nucleotides) under Bombyx mori (domestic silkworm). RNAcentral's name for it is "ovarian small RNA-11924". The record is from RNAcentral. Lineage: Eukaryota; Metazoa; Arthropoda; Insecta; Lepidoptera; Bombycidae.
AGAGAUGGGUCUAUAGCUGGAUUGCAAA